UACGGAGGGUGCAAGUGUUAUCCGGAAUCACUGGGCGUAAAGCGUCUGUAGGUGGUUUAGUAAGUCAACUGUUAAAUCUUGAGGCCCAACCUCAAAAUCGCAGUCGAAACUAUUAGACUAGAGUAUAGUAGGGGUAAAGGGAAUUUCCAGUGGAGCGGUGAAAUGCGUAGAUAUUGGAAAGAACACCGAUGGCGAAGGCACUUUACUGGGCUAUUACUGACACUCAGAGACGAAAGCUAGGGUAGCAAAUGGG
This 253-nucleotide ribosomal RNA is filed under the name uncultured bacterium. RNAcentral's name for it is "partial 16S ribosomal RNA". It matches the Rfam family "Bacterial small subunit ribosomal RNA", at positions 524 to 776 of the family's 1533-position model. The record is from RNAcentral.